This is a long non-coding RNA of Micropterus salmoides (largemouth bass), 1674 nucleotides long. RefSeq lists it as uncharacterized. The transcript has 2 exons. The record is from RefSeq and is a predicted model, not a curated record. Lineage: Eukaryota; Metazoa; Chordata; Actinopteri; Centrarchiformes; Centrarchidae.
UUUAAGAACUUUUGAUCAGCGACGUCCGUAGAUGAGUUUCAGGUCGAUUGGCAAGACCAUCUGGGAAGAGUUCGCAAAAAUAGAUUUUAGAGAAAAGUGAUAAAAAGUCACCAGACCACUGGAGCAAAGAUGCAUGAGAAUCCAGAGAUGAAAAUAAUGAAAGACGUUGACUCUAAACAAAGCUGUUUUCAAGAUAAUUGCAAAAAUGUAAAGUUGAUUGUUGUAGCACCACCAUGAGGUUUUUUGCCUGAGUAGUUGGUGGAAUUUGUAACCUACGUGCCAAUUUUGAUGAGUUUUCGUCCAGCAGUUUUUGCUGCCAAAACAGAAAAAGAUGAAAGAAAGAAAGAAGAAGAAUCAGAACAAAAACAAAAGCCAAUUCAUCAUCAGACAAUAGCCCAUGGGUUCACAGAUUGCAUUUGGGCUGAUGCGUUCCACCUCUUUUGCUCUUCACACAACCCACCGAGAUGGUGGGGUUGUCUGACAGGAAGGAUAGGCAGAGUUGCGUAUCGUCUGCAUAGCAGUGGUAAGAGAAGCUACUAUAAAUGGACUACAAGUGGAAACUAGAAUACUUCCAAUAGCUGAUGGACUGAUGGUGUGUGAUGUGAUGUCUGUCCAUGUGUUUGAUCAGAUCCAACAGGUCUUCUCAUCAAAGUGGUCGUCCUGCCGCUGACUCUGCUGUUGGUGAUCGCUGCCCUUUGUUUCUACCGUAAGGCCAGCAGGGGGCAGAAGCCGGGCAGGCAGGAGGACAUCGAGCUGGAUUAUUAUAGCCCGGGUGUUUCUGCAGCUGAAGGAGGGCCGACUGAAGAGGAAGGAGCUCAGGGAGCAGAGUAGGACCUCCAAGGAGCUCAUCUCAGCUGCCUCACAACCCACCAUCAGCUCAGUCCAGGAUUUUACUCUUUUAUACUGAUGUUCCCUUUAAACAAUACAGCUGGAAUUAUUAGAUUACAUUAGACACUAUUUUUAUUAUUCUCAACAAGAAAAGAGCAAAACCAACAGUGUGUUAGGCUUUUCAGACUUCUUGUCUGUGGCUCUCAGCUCCAAGCCCAUUGGAAGACUAUGCCUUUGGUGUGAGAGACUCGGGUUCAAUCCCCCACUGUGACCCAUCCGCCAUUGUGUCCCUGAGCAAAACACUUAACCCCUCGUUGUUCCAGAGGCGUGCGACCUCUGACAUGUAUAGCAAUUGUAAAGCGUCAGCUAAAUGUAAAUGGUUCCUAUUGAAGACGUCACUCUUUAAAAAGUCCUCAUAAAUAUAUAGUUUCAUUAUAAAACUAAGUAUCGGGGUCCAAACACCCGGCACAAUUCAGAAGCAAAGCCGCGCCGACCCAGGCUGAUCUGGAAGUCCUUCUGGAACUAUGUUGGCCGAGUCCUGUUCUAUAUUAAAUUCAAAUAAAAGUGAAGCGUCGUAAAAACCUUGUCUUUGUUCUAUUAUUGUGUGGUGUCAGUGCAUUACAUCUGUUUGUUUGGACAAAAUAAAGUCAUCUUCAAUCCUCCCGUGUCUUGUCCGCUGUGAUGGAAAUGUGAUAUUUUACUGGGGUUUACUGUUUUACCUUUUUAUGCUGCAUUAUAUCUGACCAUCCUUGAUAGGCCUUCAUCUCAGUUGGUUCCUACUCCCAGACUGGUUGCUCUCUGUACGUUUGUCUGACCUUUUGCAAAGAAUAAAAGACUUUCAAAGAC